Molecule: long non-coding RNA, 856 nt
Organism: Gymnodraco acuticeps
Lineage: Eukaryota; Metazoa; Chordata; Actinopteri; Perciformes; Bathydraconidae
Exons: 5
Source: RefSeq, a predicted model, not a curated record
AACCUCCGCAGUCCAGACUUGUACCGGAGCCGGAGGAGUAAUGAGGUAUCUAGAGAUGUGAGUCCAGCGGGCUGCUUGUGUUUCUGUUCCUCACAGGACAUCAUAUGACCCGCAGAUCCCGUGUGAACGCUCUACGUUAGUCAGUGGACGUCCGACAAGAAGCCCAAUCAUUUAUAAUGAUUGGUUUAAAUUGGUUAUUAUGAUUGGUUAUUGGUUUAAACUGCGUGAAUAAAAUAGCUAGAGAGCUAAAGUACAUUUCGUUCAUCCAAAGGCACACGGAUAACCUUGUGCUUUUAAGGCUUAUGUAACAAACUGUAUAUAUAUAUAUAUAAAGGAUUUUGUAGUAUCAAUCGGCGAGAUGCGACCAGCAGCGUGCAGAAGCUCUUCAUGCCGAGCACAUGGCAACUGUAAUGGCGGGAUGAGCACAUGGUUUCUCAAGAUGUUGGAGACUCUCUCUUAGCUCGUCCACACACUGAUGGAAGGAGUUGCUGGGACAUAUCCGCAUCUCAACCACAAACCUGGAUGCUGACUCCAAGGCUGGAGCUCUACUGAGGAUCUACAACGAGUCCCAGCGUGGAGUUUACUACGCCACAUCUGCAACCACACAAACCUGGAUGCUGACUCCAAGGCUGGAGUUCUAAUGAGGGUGUGACUGAAGGAUCUGGAUCUGGAGGACGUGCAGACGCAUGAAAAGCCGGGUGGAACAGUUCUACUGGGCUCUGCAGGGGCAUGGAGUGAAACUCUGACUCUCCUGUCCUCCGUCUUGUUCUACAAGGCUAUUCAUCUCAACUGUUCACUACAUUGACAUGAAUUUGUAUUUGAAGAAUUUUCAAAUAAAUGUUUGACAAAGAAUGGA